This 460-nucleotide long non-coding RNA is filed under the name Sorghum bicolor (sorghum). RNAcentral describes it as "long non-coding RNA (SBIC_LNC004852)". Lineage: Eukaryota; Viridiplantae; Streptophyta; Magnoliopsida; Poales; Poaceae. The record is from RNAcentral.
GGCCCCAGUAUCGUGCUCCAACUCCUAACCAGCGAUAUCGUCCCCCAGCAAAGAAGAAUCAGGCGAAGACGGGUUUCUGCAAGGGCUACUCUACUGCUCUUCCAAGCUAUGCCAAGACUCCACCUACCAACCAUCCGUGCUGGAACUGUAAUCAGACCGGGCACUGGCAAAGCAAUUGUCCUUACCCGCCAAAGAAGGGCAACCAAGGGAACGUUCGCUAGGGGCGUGUUCACUACACAACUGUGGAAGCAAUCCCAGCCGGUGAGGUAGUUACGGUUGGUAAGUUUCUGGUUAACCAAUGUGAUGCACUUGUGCUUUUUGAUUCAGGAGCAUCGCAUUCUUUUGUGAGUUCAGACUUUAUGUCUAAGCAUAAUCUCAAGGCGAUUACACUUGAUAAGGGCAGUUAAUGCAUUAGUGCUGCUGGAAAUGAUAUUUCUACCAAUCAAGUGGUUUUGGGGGC